GAUGAACGCUAGCGGCGUGCCUGAGAUAUGCAAGUCGAGCGCCCCAUUUGACCGCAAGGUUGGAUGGGAGCGGCGGACGGCUGAGUAAUAUACAGGAAUCUGCCCCUAAGUAGAGGAUAGCCCCGAGAAAUCGGGGGUAAUACUUUAUGGUUUCACCUUUUUGGUGAAUAAAGAGCUUAACCGCUCGCUAAGGGAUGAGCCUGUAUCCUAUCAGGUUGUUGGCGAGGUAAAAGCUCACCAAGCCUAUGACGGGUAGCUAAUCUGGGAGGAUGGUUAGCCAGAGGGGGACUGAGACACGGCCCCCACUCCUACGGGAGGCAGCAAUCAGGAAUAGUCGGCAAUGGACGAAAGUCUGACCGCGCGACGCCGCGUGUAGGAUUAAGCUUUUCGGAGUGUAAACUACUGUGGUAGGGGAAGAAGUCCCGACGUAAGUCGGGGUUGACGGUACCCUGCUAGAAAGGAGCCGCUAACUGCGUGCCAGAAGCGUCGGUAAUACGUGGGCUCCAAGCGUUAUCCGGUUUUAUUGGGCGUAAAGGGUCGUGUAGGCGGCUUGGUAAGUUAACUUUUAAAUUUCGAUGCCCAACAUCGAAUCGGAGUUAAAACUGCCUUGCUUGAAUUUUCUUUAGGGAGAAUGGAACUCAAAGAGGAGUAGUGAAAUGCGUUGAUACUUUGGGGAACACCAAUGGCGAAGGCAAUUCUCUGGGAGAAAAUUGACGCUGAGACACGAAAGCUAGGGGAGCGAAGCAGAUUAGAGACCUGCGUAGUCCUAGCCCUAAACGAAUGUCUGCUACCUGCAUGUUCUGACCGCAAGGUUUGAACGUGUGGGAAAGGUAACCCGUUAAGCAGACCGCCUGGGGAGUACGACCGCAAGGUUAAAACUCAAAGGAAUCGGCGGGGAGGCACACAACCAGUGGAACAUGUGGUUCAAUUCGAUACGAACCGAAGAACCUCACCAAGGUUUGACAUACAAGCGUCCAGUCCCGAUGAAAAUCGGGAUGUUCGCAAGAAGGCUUGCACAGGUGCUGCAUGGCUGUCGUCAGCUCGUUCCGUGAGGAGUGCCCUUAAGUGGGACAACGAGCGCAACCCCCAUCUUGUGUUAUAUUUGUCACAAGAAACUGCCCCGACAUUCGUCGGGGAGGAAGGAGGGGCAGACGUCAAGUCAGCAUGGUCCUUAUACCUUGGGCUACACACAUGUUACAAUGAAGGAGACAGUGAGUCUUGCCACGUUGCAAAACGGAGUAAAUCUCUCUAAACUCAUUCUCAGUGGGGAUUGGGGUCGGAAACUCGACCCCAUGAACGCGGAAUUGGUAGUAAUCGUGGGUCAGUCAUACCACGGUGAAUACGUUCUUGCCUCUUGCACACACCGCCCGUCAAGCCAACAAAGUCGGGCAUAUCUGAAUCCCGCCUAGCGGGAGAGGAUACGUUCGGCGAUGGGGGUUAAGUCGUAACAAGGUAGCCG
Molecule: ribosomal RNA, 1459 nt
Filed under: uncultured bacterium
Lineage: Bacteria
Description: bacterial SSU rRNA
Rfam family: Bacterial small subunit ribosomal RNA
Source: RNAcentral